Ictidomys tridecemlineatus (thirteen-lined ground squirrel) is the source of this 86-nucleotide non-coding RNA. Lineage: Eukaryota; Metazoa; Chordata; Mammalia; Rodentia; Sciuridae. The record is from Rfam.
UGGGAUGUAGCUCAGUGGUAGAGCUCUUGCCUACAAGAACUAAGUUAAAAAGUAUGAAGCCCUGGGUUCGAUCCCCAGCACCACAC